This 227-nucleotide long non-coding RNA is filed under the name Ricinus communis (castor bean). RNAcentral describes it as "long non-coding RNA (RCOM_LNC000900)". Lineage: Eukaryota; Viridiplantae; Streptophyta; Magnoliopsida; Malpighiales; Euphorbiaceae. The record is from RNAcentral.
AUGGACUGGACAACUCAAUGAGUAUUUCACCUUUCCUAUACUUCCGACCCCACUGGAUGAUCCAAGCCUGACCAAUGAACAGAAAGAGGCCAUCAUGCAAGACUCUCAGCCUAUGGAUGAUGAUGACAGUAUUUUCUGACUACUGAUGGACGUAUCCUCCUCAAUAAUCCAAAAGAUAGUGGUUGUGUAUGCUAGACAUCAAGACAAAGAAAGAUGAGAUGUCAAUU